UACGGGGGGGGCAAGCGUUGUUCGGAAUUACUGGGCGUAAAGGGCUCGUAGGGGGCCAACUAAGUCAGACGUGAAAUCCCUCAGCUUAACUGGGGAACUGCGUCUGAUACUGGAUGGCUUGAAUUCGGGAGAGGGAUGUGGAAUUCCAGGUGUAGCGGUGAAAUGCGUAGAUAUCUGGAGGAACACCGGUGGCGAAGGCGGCAUCCUGGACCGAUAUUGACGCUGAUGCGCGAAAGCCAGGGGAGCAAACGGG
Molecule: ribosomal RNA, 253 nt
Filed under: uncultured bacterium
Lineage: Bacteria
Description: partial 16S ribosomal RNA
Rfam family: Bacterial small subunit ribosomal RNA
Source: RNAcentral